Molecule: small RNA, 1785 nt
Filed under: Pan troglodytes (chimpanzee)
Lineage: Eukaryota; Metazoa; Chordata; Mammalia; Primates; Hominidae
Description: processed transcript
Source: RNAcentral
ACAGUAAAAAGUCCGAGGGCAGCCGCCGGGCGCAGGAUGGGAUCCGGCUCCUCCAGCUACCGGCCCAAGGCCAUCUACCUGGACAUCGAUGGACGCAUUCAGAAGCACUCCCUACAAAGUGAGACCUGUGGCCAUCAAGCAACUCUCUGCAAAAGAAUGCAGAUUUUGCAUUAUCUAAAGAGGCGGUUCCGUGAGCCCACUGUGCUGAGUCACAUAUAUUCCAUCGGUAGAGAGAAGAAUUAAUCCAGAGCGUGCUGGCGCAGGUUGCAGAGCAGUUCUCAAGAGCAUUCAAAAUCAAUGAACUGAAAGCUGAAGUUGCAAAUCACUUGGCUGUCCUAGAGAAACGCGUGGAAUUGGAAGGACUAAAAGUGGUGGAGAUUGAGAAAUGCAAGAGUGACAUUAAGAAGAUGAGGGAGGAGCUGGCGGCCAGAAGCAGCAGGACCAACUGCCCCUGUAAGUACAGUUUUUUGGAUAACCACAAGAAGUUGACUCCUCGACGCGAUGUUCCCACUUACCCCAAGUACCUGCUCUCUCCAGAGACCAUCGAGGCCCUGCGGAAGCCGACCUUUGACGUCUGGCUUUGGGAGCCCAAUGAGAUGCUGAGCUGCCUGGAGCACAUGUACCACGACCUCGGGCUGGUCAGGGACUUCAGCAUCAACCCUGUCACCCUCAGGAGGUGGCUGUUCUGCGUCCACGACAACUACAGAAACAACCCCUUCCACAACUUCCGGCACUGCUUCUGCGUGGCCCAGAUGAUGUACAGCAUGGUGUGGCUCUGCAGUCUCCAGGAGAACUUCUCACAAAUGGAUAUCCUGAUCCUAAUGACAGCGGCCAUCUGCCACGAUCUGGACCAUCCCGGCUACAACAACACGUACCAGAUCAAUGCCCGCACAGAGCUGGCGGUCCGCUACAAUGACAUCUCACCGCUGGAGAACCACCACUGCGCCGUGGCCUUCCAGAUCCUCGCCGAGCCUGAGUGCAACAUCUUCUCCAACAUCCCACCUGAUGGGUUCAAGCAGAUCCGACAGGGAAUGAUCACAUUAAUCUUGGCCACUGACAUGGCAAGACAUGCAGAAAUUAUGGAUUCUUUCAAAGAGAAAAUGGAGAAUUUUGACUACAGCAACGAGGAGCACAUGACCCUGCUGAAGAUGAUUUUGAUAAAAUGCUGUGAUAUCUCUAACGAGGUCCGUCCAAUGGAAGUCGCAGAGCCUUGGGUGGACUGUUUAUUAGAGGAAUAUUUUAUGCAGAGCGACCGUGAGAAGUCAGAAGGCCUUCCCGUGGCCCCGUUCAUGGACCGAGACAAAGUGACCAAGGCCACAGCCCAGAUUGGGUUCAUCAAGUUUGUCCUGAUCCCAAUGUUUGAAACAGUGACCAAGCUCUUCCCCAUGGUUGAGGAGAUCAUGCUGCAGCCACUUUGGGAAUCCCGAGAUCGCUACGAGGAACUGAAGCGGAUAGAUGAUGCCAUGAAAGAGUUACAGAAGAAGACUGACAGCUUGACGUCUGGGGCCACCGAGAAGUCCAGAGAGAGAAGCAGAGAUGUGAAAAACAGUGAAGGAGACUGUGCCUGAGGAAAGCGGGGGGCGUGGCUGCGGUUCUGGACAGGCUGGCCGAGCUGCGCGGGAUCCUUGUGCAGGGAAGAGCUGCCCUGGGCACCUGGCACCACAAAACCACGUUUUCUAAGAACCAUUUUGUUCACUGAUACAAAAAAAAAAAAAAGGAAUUCAUGAUGCUGUACAGAAUUUUAUUUUUAAACUGUCUUUUAAAUAAUAUAUUCUUAUACGGAAA